CCUUCGGGGGGGCGCCGUGGGGAAUAUUGGACAAUGGGGGCAACCCUGAUCCAGCCAUGCCGCGUGUGUGAAGAAGGCCCUCGGGUUGUAAAGCACUUUCAGUGAGGAAGAACGCCUGGUGGUUAAUACCCAUCAGGAAAGACAUCACUCACAGAAGAAGCACCGGCUAACUCCGUGCCAGCAGCCGCGGUAAUACGGAGGGUGCGAGCGUUAAUCGGAAUUACUGGGCGUAAAGCGCGCGUAGGUGGCUUGAUAAGCCGGUUGUGAAAGCCCCGGGCUCAACCUGGGAACGGCAUCCGGAACUGUCAAGCUAGAGUGCAGGAGAGGAAGGUAGAAUUCCCGGUGUAGCGGUGAAAUGCGUAGAGAUCGGGAGGAAUACCAGUGGCGAAGGCGGCCUUCUGGACUGACACUGACACUGAGGUGCGAAAGCGUGGGUAGCAAACAGGAUUAGAUACCCCAGUAGUC
RNAcentral lists this ribosomal RNA (465 nucleotides) under Vreelandella stevensii. Its description in RNAcentral is "partial 16S ribosomal RNA". It matches the Rfam family "Bacterial small subunit ribosomal RNA", at positions 338 to 795 of the family's 1533-position model. The record is from RNAcentral. Lineage: Bacteria; Pseudomonadati; Pseudomonadota; Gammaproteobacteria; Oceanospirillales; Halomonadaceae.